Molecule: transfer RNA, 74 nt
Filed under: Endecameris sp. ZJUH 20220006
Lineage: Eukaryota; Metazoa; Arthropoda; Insecta; Hymenoptera; Figitidae
Description: tRNA-Asp
Source: RNAcentral
UAAAAAUUAGUUAAUUAAUAAAUAACAUUAAUAUGUCAUAUUAAAAUAAUUAAUACAAAAUUUAAUAUUUUUUA